CGGGAAGCAAAGGAUUAGAACCACUGACCUCCUGCUUUGUAGUCUACUGCUCUAUCCACUAUGCCAUCUCCCG
Oesophagostomum dentatum (nodular worm) is the source of this 73-nucleotide non-coding RNA. NCBI's taxonomy places the organism in Eukaryota, Metazoa, Nematoda, Chromadorea, Rhabditida, Strongylidae. The record is from the annotation of a GenBank genome assembly.